This is a non-coding RNA of Paramuricea clavata, 1380 nucleotides long. The record is from the annotation of a GenBank genome assembly. Lineage: Eukaryota; Metazoa; Cnidaria; Anthozoa; Malacalcyonacea; Plexauridae.
CAUCCUUGUAGCUGGGAACAAGCAGUGCGAACUACGUUUGAAAUAGUUUGUGUUGUAUGUAUGCAAAUACUAAAUGCUUGUCAUAACAAAUUUAUCCCAAAUAUGUUUUAAGUGCAUAGCUGUGUGUUCGGCAAGUUUCAUCUUUUAAUUUUCAUCAUUGCUUUAUAAAAAUACUCUCCAAUCUAUCAUGUUGCGUAGUCAGUUUCGGUGCUAUGUUCUUGAUUCUGUUUUACAAUACAAGCUAAGCCGCGGAAUGUGAUUUUUACGCUGUAGCCAAGGUCGCUACGGUAAAAAGAAUGCUCUCCCAAGUCGUGUAGGGUAUUUUAUGUGAAUUCACUAUUGGAGUACUUAAAAGGGUUGUUCUAGUGCACUGAAAGACAAGUACUUUGAGGAGGUAAAUAUUGUUUAGCACUAAACGUAUGCAUACUCGCAUAUACAAAACUGUAUUUUGCGAGGGGCAAAUCACUCCUAAACUAAAUAUUUUAUAUUUUUCACGGAUCAGUUUUUUUUUAUUUUUCCAACAACCCUUUCCCCCCAUUAUUCUCUUUUAAAAUCACUCCUAAAAAGUGUACGAGAUCAAAACCUAAUAUGAUUUUUCUUGUGAGUUCAGUGAUUUUUUUGUUGAUUUUUUUAUUUUGUGAUUUUUAGGGUGAGGGUGUAUCCUCGGAUGCUAAAACUCAGGAUGUGCUUUUUGACCCAUUUUUUUCCCAGAAUUUCCGUUAGUGAGGAGUGCUAAUCGUCCUUACUUGUAGCUGAGAGCGAAGCUGAAUUAACGAAGGACACAUCUCAACCUGAUUCGAGUGAUGCCUCUAGCCACCUCAUCAUGACUCAUGUCGCAUCAUGACUCAUGUCUCAUCACGAAGCACAGCCACGGCGGAAGGGGUUAGUUUGGGAUUUAACACAACCCACCCAUGUUGUACAUAGUUUCAAUCAUUCUUGUAAUUGCGGCACGUAAUUGAGUCUAACCAGUGACGCCGGAACGAUGUGAAGGCAAGGGGGGCAGAUUUUCGUGAAAGGGCACUUUUGGAUUGAUAUAUACGAAGAGAUGCUUGCAACACAUCGGGAGUUGAACUUCGCCUAAUCAUAUUUUCUAUUUAUUGGAUGAUAGGGGUGUGAGGGGGUUCUCCGCCAGGCGAUUGUGCUAUUCCUGAAGCUCGAUGACUGCAUUUCUUGCGUUUUCUGAAGCAAAUUCGUAAAAUAAUUGCACUAACAUUUCUGACAAUUCGCUAUUUCGCCAAGGCAAUCCUUUAAAUUGAAAGGGCACCUUUGCCCCCCUUGCCCCUCCUGGUAAACGGCAACGGGGGCGGCUGCCCCUCCUGCCCCCCCCCAGUUCCGGCGUCCCUGAGUCUAACGACUACAACGCGUGUAUGUUUUUAAUAA